UACGGGGGGUGCAAGCGUUGUUCGGAAUCAUUGGGCGUAAAGAGCGUGUAGGCGGCGUGAUAAGUCAGAUGUGAAAGCCCUGGGCUUAACCCAGGAAGUGCAUUUGAAACUGUCUUGCUUGAGUAGGGGAGAGGAAAGUGGAAUUCCUGGUGUAGAGGUGAAAUUCGUAGAUAUCAGGAGGAACACCGGUGGCGAAGGCGACUUUCUGGCCCUAUACUGACGCUGAGACGCGAGAGCGUGGGGAGCAAACAGG
RNAcentral lists this ribosomal RNA (253 nucleotides) under uncultured bacterium. Its description in RNAcentral is "partial 16S ribosomal RNA". It matches the Rfam family "Bacterial small subunit ribosomal RNA", at positions 524 to 776 of the family's 1533-position model. The record is from RNAcentral.